Molecule: long non-coding RNA, 603 nt
Filed under: Cavia porcellus (domestic guinea pig)
Lineage: Eukaryota; Metazoa; Chordata; Mammalia; Rodentia; Caviidae
Description: lncRNA (ENSCPOG00000038305.1)
Source: RNAcentral
AAUAAUUGCUUUCAAGAACAUCUCAUUUAAGAAACGGUGCCUGGAUGCUAUGGCAGUAAUAAAAUCUCCAUCAUUGCUGGUCUAUCAGGCUGCGCUGAGUUCUGUCCUGGAUUUCCCUCUCACAGUGCACAUCAGCCGCAGGUCGCGGUUUCGUCUGUCAGUCAGCAGCCACCACUGAGCUUCACUGGCAAUGGGACUAUGACUGCAGCUGGCCUCAGGGCCUCUGUCCUGGUGUCACCUUGCUGGGGUCACUGAGCGAGAAUGUUUUGUCAGGCUCGGACACAGCGUGCUGUACAGAUGGGCACUGGCAGCGCCUUUGUCCCCGACCCUUCCCAUCCUCACGGCUGCCUUGCUGGGAAUAUUCAGGCGUGCAGACGGCAAGGCUUCCUCCAGCUGAGUCAUCGCUGGGAAUCGGCAGAGAAUGCAGAAACGUUUUGGGAACUACAGAACAGGAAACUUUGGCUGAAGACCAGGCAGACUCCAGUACACAUGAUGAAGUCUCCAGACAUCGCUGCUACUAACCCCUCUUCAUCUUACAGUUUUGAAAGUGAGUUCUUUGUCUCAUCAUCUUCCUACAGAAGGAAUUAUCCCAAUAGUUUCAAA